UUAUGACAGAAAUUCAGAAAAGAACCAAAAAUUUAGAAAAGAUUAGCAUGGCCCCUGUGCAAGGAUGACAUGCAAAUCUGUGAAGUGUUCCACAAUUUU
This 99-nucleotide small nuclear RNA is filed under the name Mesitornis unicolor (brown roatelo). The record is from RNAcentral. Lineage: Eukaryota; Metazoa; Chordata; Aves; Mesitornithiformes; Mesitornithidae.